CCUACGGGUGGCAGCAGUGAGGAAUAUUGGUCAAUGGGCGCGAGCCUGAACCAGCCAAGUAGCGUGAAGGAUGACUGCCCUACGGGUUGUAACCUUCUUUUAUAAAGGAAUAAAGUGAGGCAUGUGUGCCUUUUUGUCUGUACUUUAUGAAUAAGGAUCAGCUAACUCCGUGCCAGCAGCCGCGGUAAUACGGAGGUUCCGAGCGUUUUCCGGAUUUAUUGGGUUUAAAGGGAGCGUAGAUGGGUUGUUAAGUCAGUUGUGAAAGUUUGCGGCUCAACCGUAAAAUUGCAAUUGAUACUGGCAGGCUUGAGUACAGUUGAGGUAGGCGGAAUUCGUGGUGUAGCGGUGAAAUGCUUAGAUAUCACGAAGAACUCCGAUGGCGAAGGCAGCCUACUAAACUGCAACUGACAUUGAUGCUCGAAAGUGUGGGUAGCAAACAGGAUUAGAUACCCUUGUAGUC
Molecule: ribosomal RNA, 460 nt
Filed under: uncultured bacterium
Lineage: Bacteria
Description: partial 16S ribosomal RNA
Rfam family: Bacterial small subunit ribosomal RNA
Source: RNAcentral